GAGCCCAUUUCCCAGAAGCCCAAGUAUGUCCAACUAAUUAGGGUUUUAUUUUCUUUCUCUAAGCAGCGCCUCUCUUAACCUUGUCCUUUAUAGCUAUGCCUUUGUCCUCUUCUCCAUUUUUGACUAAAAUUCAACCUCCAACAAUCAAAGUACAAUCUUUGUCCGCCCCAUUUCAAGCAAAAUAAGAGCUUCUCUCAUCCGAUUUUGGCGUGUAUAGAUGACCAAGAGAUGAUCCUCCCAUUUUUACACUACAAGACUUGUCGAAUCUCUCUACCUCAGUCGAGAUCUUACCAUUUCGUGCAAGAACUGAGCGAAUCACGUGAAUCCCUAUUACUAUGCCAACGUUCGGAUUUGAACGGCUCUGUUUGACUUCAUUUGAAAUCUGAAAAUUUCAAAUCCCGCUCAGAAACGGAACCCUAGUUUUCUCCUAUAAAUACUCCUCAACUCUCCAGCCGAAAGAUCAUCUUUUGGAAUCCUGGAAAAUAGAUAGAACACGGCAAAAUCGAAUCAAUAAGUAAUUCUCUUCUUUUCUGUAAUCUCUGUCCCUAUUUAGUUAGCUAAAACAGAGUUUCGAUCUUGUUACGUGGAGGGAGUAAAUUUGAAGCUUCUCAAACUCCCGUUCACUGCACCACACCAGGUGAAAUUCGGACCCAUUCUUAUUUUCGUUAUCGCCGACGAGUUUUCUUUGUGUUAGAACUCAUGCUUUAGGUUUUCGAAAGCCUGUUUAUUGAACCUUGUGACAGAGUGUAUAGACUUCACGCAAUAGAAACUUUGUCCUUAGGAAAACUGAUUUUAUGACUACUUGUUCAAAUACUUGUUUGAUGAAUGUUUGACGAAAUGCCUGUAUGUAUACAUUAGUUUUCAUUUGUUGGGAUGUAACCAUGUGCAGGCUCUUAAAUGAUUAUUGGUGUGCCGACGGCGUACUGUUUAAUUAUGAACACACACGAAAAUGUCCUUGCUCCUAAACUCUUAGUUGGAAGUUAGUUCAGAAUUCUCUUUAAUUUCACCCAUUCCAUGGAUCAUUGAAUCAGUUAAUGUGUUGCAUUUUUUCUUGUUUAUUUUAGUUGCAUUAUGGUAGUAUAGAAACCAUGUAUGUUAGAAGAUUUAUAUCUAUGUAAUACUUGUAAUCUGAAUGCAAUAGAACUAGUAUGCUUAACAAUGGGCUGGAGUCUCUCCCCUAUUUUAGAGAUCAUGAUCUAGUUAUUGUUUAGGUUAUAGAGGUUAUGCCCAAAACAAUCUGCUUGUCUGUAUGAUAAAUUAAAUAUAGUUGCUGAUUUAAAUGUUGAGGCUUUGGUUUUCUGCUAGCAAUAGAGUUAAACAUCUAUAAUAACUUAGUAAUAAUGAAAACUGAGUUCAUAGGUACAUGUUAGACAUAUUUUUAGGCCUCAAUUGUAUUCUGUCAAACUUAAGGAAUAUAUAAUAGCAUGUUAGCUUUGUUAAGAAUUAAACCUGAUUUGUUUUCAUUAUAGAGAUCUUGAUUUUUGCUUAGGGAUAAACUACAGAACAUAUAAAUUGCUCUAGAUUUGCCCUUAACAGAGCCAUGUCCUAAGAAGUAGAAACCAUGUAUUGUUCUUUCUUUAAGAAAUAUUGGAUAUACACAUGUUCUUGAAAUUUUAAGAAUCUCUUCUCUGUUUGUUACAACUAAUUGUAUUUGUUUUAUCUGGAAUAUUGAGCUUGUCCGAACACAUAUAAUAUCUAUGUGUUACAGUGUUAACAUGGUUUGUUUGUGUAGUUUAGAGACUAUUAGAUUACAUAACAAUAUGACGCUUUACUUUAUCUAUUUUCCUGUGAAUGUUUAAGAAUCAGAGCCAAAGAGUUUCAAUUUAAGACUCAACGACGCCAUAAAAAUCGCAUGGAGUCAGCACACUUUGAUGUUUCACUGCUUAUGUAGCGACAAAACAACAAAAUUAUUCCGCAUGGCGGUUCUGGCGGAGAAGCCAGUCAAUUGUCCUUUACAUUUCUGCAUUAAUCACAAUGUUGCUUCUUUGUGUUUGGUGACAGUUUAAAUAGUCAUAUUUUAGAAUCUUAAUUGUUAUGUGAUACUAUAUCAAUUCGGCGAGGCGUCUUUCUAGAUAAUAAUAGAGAUACUCAUCACAUAGAACACAUCUUGACAUAGGGAAUAUUAACAACAUUGGUUUUUCAACUAUAUAAUUGUUUUUCUUAUUUGAACUUUUGGAAUUAGCUUUGUAAAAUGGGCAAAACGUGAGUUUAACCAAAUCUACUAUAUUAAGUUAAUCUACUUUACAUGCACGUAGACUUGUAGAACUCUUUAGACGUAACAAUAACUUUAAACACAACACAUGUCUUAGCCUUUAAUCAAUUGACUUAAGUCCGGUUGGUAAACCAUUUUAAUGUGGAUCUUAAGUAGUGCUUUACACCUUUUCUUUAAGAUUAAUUGAAUCCCUUACCUUAGAAUCUCUAAUGUUUAGUAGACCUUAUAGAGUUAAUAAUUGAUAAUUUAGGUGUCCUAACUCACCUUUUAAUAUAGUUAGGUGGUGACUCUUUAGUUAACAAUUAAUUGAGGAAUCACCAAUAUGUUAUACUCUAAUUUGAUCUGUGUUAAAAUGGGGUAUAACAACUACCAUGUUAAACAUGUAUGGUUUGUAACAAGUGUUCAUCCUCUCUGUCUGUUUCGAACCUUUUCAUUUGCCUUUUGGGUAAAUUGUGUUGUUUUUUCCUUUUUGAUUGCCCUUUGGCCUGGAUAAUAUGUCGGUACCAUUGCUUUUUUGAAACUUGAACAUUCAUUCCCAUACCAUUUUGCUCAUAGUGCAUAGUUGAUAGCAUGUUAGAAACUUGAGCGUCCACCAGAUUGUAUAGAGAAUCGGGUUCUCUUUGAAUUUCCACUGAAGAUAUUAAUGAACCAAAUUGUAUAGCGAUUUGGUCCUAUAUCGGUUUGGUACAGUGCUAACUACUGAAUAAGUAUAUAAAUAAGAUACAUGAUAAGUUCCCACUAUAUAGAGAACCAAAUUCUCUAUAAAUUUCCACUGUAAGCAACAGGCUGUAAAACAGCCAGUAUAGGGAAUCAUGUUCUCUAAUUGUUCUUGCAGUAGCUCGGUAGUAAGUAAAGAACAUAGAGGAUUUUUAUGUGGAAAAAUCUCAACUCAAAGAGACAAAACCACGACCUACAUUUAUAGGUUUUCAACUUCACUAACUUGUAAACCCCUAUGACAAGCCACUUUGUAAUAACUUU
Molecule: long non-coding RNA, 3190 nt
Filed under: Nicotiana tabacum (common tobacco)
Lineage: Eukaryota; Viridiplantae; Streptophyta; Magnoliopsida; Solanales; Solanaceae
Description: long non-coding RNA (NTAB_LNC008930)
Source: RNAcentral